AACGGCCGUACCAUGCUGAAUAUACCGGUUCCCGUUAGAUCACCGAAGUUAAGCAUCAUUGGGCGCGGUCAGUACUUGGGUGGGUGACCACCUGGGAACACCGCGUGCCGUU
Molecule: ribosomal RNA, 112 nt
Filed under: Caerostris darwini
Lineage: Eukaryota; Metazoa; Arthropoda; Arachnida; Araneae; Araneidae
Source: RNAcentral